RNAcentral lists this ribosomal RNA (491 nucleotides) under uncultured bacterium. RNAcentral describes it as "bacterial SSU rRNA". It matches the Rfam family "Bacterial small subunit ribosomal RNA", at positions 903 to 1397 of the family's 1533-position model. The record is from RNAcentral.
AAAGGAAUAGACGGGUGCCCGCACAAGCAGUGGAGUAUGUGGAUUAAUUCGACGCAACGCGAAGAACCUUACCAGGGCUUGACAUCCUACUAACGAAGCAGAGAUGCAUUAGGUGCCCCUUGGGGAAAGUAGAGACAGGUGGUGCAUGGUUGUCGUCAGCUCGUGUCGUGAGAUGUUGGGUUAAGUCCCGCAACGAGCGCAACCCUUACGGUUAGUUGCUACGCAAGAGCACUCUAGCCGGACUGCCGUUGACAAAACGGAGGAAGGUGGGGACGAGGUCAAAUCAUCAUGCCCCUUAUGUCCUGGGCUUCACACGUACUACAAUGGCGGUAAACAACGGGUCGCAGAGCCGCGAGGCCGAGCCAAUCCCCAAAAGCCGCCUCAGUUCAGAUUGCAGGCUGCAACUCGCCUGCAUGAAGUUGGAAUUGCUAGUAAUCGCGAAUCAGCAUGUCGCGGUGAAUACGUUCCCGGGCAUUGUACACACCGCCCGU